CCACCGCGUAGAGGCAGAACAUCGUUAAAAUCCAUAUCGGGAUUAUCCUUACCACGCUCCAGAAGAAUUUUGUGUACUCCCGCUUAACGCUGAACGACUCCAGAGUGUCGUCCACCUGUUCGCACCUUCGUAUAAUCUGCCUCAAGUCCUGUGUACUUGAAGGACGACAAUGGCAUCGAAAAAAUCUUGUGCAAUAUAUCACAGUUUUCCUAACAUCCACCUUACUUACCUUCGUGUGAACAAACCCGAAAACUACGGACACACAGCUGACCACGAUGCUCACCCAAAAAUAUAAAGACUGGUGCAAGUCGCGGCGUAUAACAAGCUGAGACAGUAGGCAGGACGUCCCGAGAAGUGACAAACGUCCAGGCAAAACGCUCUGUUCAACCAGACAAUCGGUGCCAGAGCAGAGCUCUGACUUUUCACUUGAAACUGCAUCCCGAACAUUUUACCUCGGAUACCUUUCUGUAGCAGUGACCGAACGGCGAGUAUGACAAGCGUUAGUUCGCACCAUCGUUAUUGCCUGCUCGCCAUUUAAUUAGAAUUUGAUUAUUCACGAGUUCGAUCGACUGGAAAUUGGCUGCGGCCUUUUAAUUGUCACGUUGCGUGACCGGAUCAUUUAUUAUUGCAAUCUUUCCGACGAGAGGGAGAAUCGUCGUUUCAAUAUAAUGAAUAGGAUCGUUGAUGUAAUUAGAUGGCCUCGCAGCAAGCGAAACAAAACUGUGAAAACGCAACAUGUUAUAUGGAAAAGUAUUAAAAUGAUUUAUUCUCACUCGGAUUACGAAUAAAAUAAAGGUCGAUCACCCUGGUUAUCAAACACUUAAAUAUA
Molecule: long non-coding RNA, 829 nt
Organism: Ceratina calcarata
Lineage: Eukaryota; Metazoa; Arthropoda; Insecta; Hymenoptera; Apidae
Exons: 2
Source: RefSeq, a predicted model, not a curated record